This 190-nucleotide ribosomal RNA is filed under the name uncultured Enterobacter sp. RNAcentral describes it as "partial 16S ribosomal RNA". It matches the Rfam family "Bacterial small subunit ribosomal RNA", at positions 397 to 579 of the family's 1533-position model. The record is from RNAcentral. Lineage: Bacteria; Pseudomonadati; Pseudomonadota; Gammaproteobacteria; Enterobacterales; Enterobacteriaceae.
CCGCGUGUAUGAAGAAGGCCGGGUUGUAAGAAAGUACUUGCAGCGGGGAGGAAGGUGUUGUGGUUAAUAACCUCAGCAAUUGACGUUACCCGCAGAAGAAGCACCGGCUAACUCCGUGCCAGCAGCCGCGGUAAUACGGAGGGUGCAAGCGUUAAUCGGAAUUACUGGGCGUAAAGCGCACGCAGGCGGU